This 822-nucleotide ribosomal RNA is filed under the name Bacillus subtilis. RNAcentral's name for it is "bacterial SSU rRNA". It matches the Rfam family "Bacterial small subunit ribosomal RNA", at positions 57 to 861 of the family's 1533-position model. Lineage: Bacteria; Bacillati; Bacillota; Bacilli; Caryophanales; Bacillaceae. The record is from RNAcentral.
GCAAGUCGAGCGGACAGAUGGGAGCUUGCUCCCUGAUGUUAGCGGCGGACGGGUGAGUAACACGUGGGUAACCUGCCUGUAAGACUGGGAUAACUCCGGGAAACCGGGGCUAAUACCGGAUGGUUGUUUGAACCGCAUGGUUCAAACAUAAAAGGUGGCUUCGGCUACCACUUACAGAUGGACCCGCGGCGCAUUAGCUAGUUGGUGAGGUAACGGCUCACCAAGGCAACGAUGCGUAGCCGACCUGAGAGGGUGAUCGGCCACACUGGGACUGAGACACGGCCCAGACUCCUACGGGAGGCAGCAGUAGGGAAUCUUCCGCAAUGGACGAAAGUCUGACGGAGCAACGCCGCGUGAGUGAUGAAGGUUUUCGGAUCGUAAAGCUCUGUUGUUAGGGAAGAACAAGUACCGUUCGAAUAGGGCGGUACCUUGACGGUACCUAACCAGAAAGCCACGGCUAACUACGUGCCAGCAGCCGCGGUAAUACGUAGGUGGCAAGCGUUGUCCGGAAUUAUUGGGCGUAAAGGGCUCGCAGGCGGUUUCUUAAGUCUGAUGUGAAAGCCCCCGGCUCAACCGGGGAGGGUCAUUGGAAACUGGGGAACUUGAGUGCAGAAGAGGAGAGUGGAAUUCCACGUGUAGCGGUGAAAUGCGUAGAGAUGUGGAGGAACACCAGUGGCGAAGGCGACUCUCUGGUCUGUAACUGACGCUGAGGAGCGAAAGCGUGGGGAGCGAACAGGAUUAGAUACCCUGGUAGUCCACGCCGUAAACGAUGAGUGCUAAGUGUUAGGGGUUUCCGCCCCUUAGUGCUGCAGCUAACGCAUU